UGCAGGCUGCAACUCGCCUGCAUGAAGCUGGAAUUGCUAGUAAUCGCGGAUCAGCAAGCCGCGGUGAAUACGUUCCCGGGCCUUGUACACACCGCCCGUCACACCAUGAGAGUUGGAGAUACCCGAAGCCUAUGAGCUAACUUUUAGAGGCAGUAGUCGAAGGUAGAAUCAAUGAUUGGGUGAAGUCGUAACAAGGUACC
RNAcentral lists this ribosomal RNA (200 nucleotides) under uncultured bacterium. RNAcentral describes it as "partial 16S ribosomal RNA". It matches the Rfam family "Bacterial small subunit ribosomal RNA", at positions 1299 to 1500 of the family's 1533-position model. The record is from RNAcentral.